CCAUCAAGAUGCUUGCAUUAGCCUAUAGGAAAACAUAAACACAAGAACCAUUGUUGCGUUAGGCCUAGAGAGAAAAGGGGGAAAACCCAGAGAGCAAAAAAGAAAACCAUGAUGGCAAUUGCACCUCAAACAAUGACUGAGAUGUGGGCAACAAUGGGCUCAACAAUUGCUAGUUUCAUGUUUCUUUGGGCUAUCUUUCGCCAAUUUUGUCCGUAUGAGGUUCGCCGUUACUUGGAAAAAUAUAGCCAAAGAAUCAUGAGUUUCUUCUACCCUUACAUUAAGAUAUCAAUUCAUGAAUACACUGGGGAUCGCCUCAAGAGAAGUGAAGCCUAUGCUGCUGUUGAGGCUUACCUGAGUGUCAACUCUACCAAGUUUGCUAAAAGGCUCAAGGCUGAGAUGGGUAAAGAUUGCAGUAACUUGGUACUUAGCAUGGAUGAGUAUGAGAGGGUCACCGAUGAAUUUCGGGGGGUUAAGGUUUGGUGGGUUUCCAGCAAGCUGGUGUCACCUAGCCAAUCCAUGUAUCCUCAACAAGAAAGAAGGUAUUACAAGCUCACCUUUCACAAAAGCCAUAGGGAGAUGAUCACUGAGGCUUACUUGCAGCAUGUAGUGAGGGAAGGGAAGGAGAUUAGGGUGAGAAAUAGGCAGAGGAAGCUUUACACUAAUAGUCCUGGCUACAAGUGGCCAAGCUACAAGCAGACUAUGUGGAGCCAUAUAGUCUUUGAGCAUCCUGCCACGUUUGAGACAAUGGCCUUGGAGCCUGAGAAGAAGAAGGAGAUUAUUGAAGAUCUUGUUACUUUUAGCAAAAGCAAGGAUUUCUACGCCAGAAUUGGAAAAGCAUGGAAAAGAGGGUAUCUUCUUUAUGGUCCUCCAGGAACUGGCAAGUCUACUAUGAUUGCUGCAAUGGCGAACUUGUUGAACUAUGAUGUUUAUGAUCUGGAGCUCACUGCAGUGAAGGACAAUACGGAACUAAGGAAGCUUUUGAUAGAAACUACCAGUAAAUCGAUCAUAGUGAUUGAGGACAUCGACUGCUCGCUUGAUCUUACUGGUCAGAGGAAGAAGAAAGCGGAGAAAUCUUCAGAUGAUGAGAAGGAGAAAUCAGAGAAGGAAAUUCCUCGUAAAGACCUUAAAGAAGAGGCAAGCAGCAAGGUGACACUUUCAGGGUUAUUGAAUUUCAUCGAUGGGUUAUGGUCAGCUUGUGGAGGUGAGAGGCUAAUUGUCUUCACCACCAAUUAUGUGGAGAAGCUUGAUCCUGCUUUGAUAAGAAGGGGUAGAAUGGAUAAGCACAUUGAACUUUCUUAUUGCAGUUUUGAGGCAUUCAAGGUGCUUGCAAGGAACUACUUGAAACUCAAAGCACACCCUCUGUUCGGCAAAAUUGAAAGGCUAAUGAAGGAGACCAAGAUCACACCUGCUGAUGUUGCCGAAAACCUUAUGCCCAAGUCCCCACUUGAUAAUGCAGAGACAUGUCUUUCAAACUUGAUUCAAGCCCUCGAGGAAGUAAAAGAAGCAGAAGCUUUUAAAACAGAGAAAGAAGAAGAGGCAGCAGCAUGUGACGACAACCUGAGGAAGAAGCAACUUAGAAGAAAGGCAGAGGAGGAAGCAGCAGCUAAUGAGACGUCAGGGUACCCCGUCAACAUAGAUGUUGCCCGGCCACGGGAAAAUGGAGAAGCCGAGGAAACAUUGUGAACUGGCAUCAUCAUUAAAUUCUUGUAUUAAAUAUAUUGCCCACGUAAAUUUCGGGUACAAGGUUGAAGUAAUUAUUAUCGUGUACAAGUUACAAAUAUCUGUUUCUGUAACAAGUCCAUUUAGAACACAAAAACAAACACUACUCGAGCAGUUGCACCAUAAUACAUAAUUACAAAAAAGACAAACAGCACAAUCACUUUCGUCCAUUGCAGAGCUCGCAUCAUAAAAAUGUCAGCAUUACAAAUCAAGAAUGGUAGCAAUUACAAUGUAGGAAGAAUGAUCAACCGAUAAGUGAAACAUUAGCUACCACUUAAGGGAGGAUAGACCAUUACAUAAAAAAGAUUUCAGAUCCAAUCAUUUUAUCCGCAAACAAAGCCAAAACCAAAUGAUCAAUGGGCACAUCGUUUUUUGUAAUCAUGGUGGAUUAAACUACAGGGCUUGAACAUCUAAUGCCCAAAUUUUUCGGUUACAAUAUCAGUUAAGGUUAUUGUACAUUAAUUGGAUAAGAUAAGGAACUCCCAACGAAUUCUCAUUCACCCAUUGUAGGUUUUCUAUGAAUGUAGACAUGCUAAAAAAUGACUACCUAAUCUACAUAACUCUCAGUAUCAAGUCACUCACUGCUGCAAAUCCUGAAUGAAUUUCAUCAGGCUGUUUCUUAACUUCACCAUGGAAGAACUUUGACCAGAAUUUCCUCCAUAGGCUUAUCACAAAAUUUAUAUAAUAUUGUUUUUUUACUAUCGUACAUUAAGCUUUCCCUGAGAAAAAACAACAAACCUUGUUCUCUAGCAGGGAGGGAAACUUAAAAAUUGCCUCUAUCUUCAUCUUUCAUUAUUGUGUUUGGACCAUCAUCAAAACCAGAGCCUGGAGCAAGUUCAUUUAGAUCAAGGAAACGCCGCUUUCUUACACCCUCAACUUCAUCUUCGCCAGGGCUAUUUGAUUUCUCUGGUGGCUGAUUUUGCUGUUUCUCUGCAGUCUGAGUGUAACCUUCAACAGGCUGAUCAACUUUCAUAUCUUGCUCUUCAUCCUCAUUCUCAUCAGAAUCUUGACUUCCAGCUGAAUACUCUUUCUCACUAGCAUCUGAGUGUUCAUCUGAUGCAUUUGAUUUUUCAGGCUUCAUUGACUCUGUUUCUGAUUCUGACAGCUCAUAUUGCCGAUAAUUAAUCCGGUUUCUGGUAGCCCUUCUGCUGCGUCUCAAACCUGAUUGAAGCUCAUCGACAGACCUUAAUUUAGUUUCCCUCCGUGUUCGGCCUGGCAUUUUCUUAAAUUUUUGGGGCUCAUCACUAUCCUCACUGAUACUUGAUGAAUCCUCUUCUUCUUCCUCUUCUUCCUCUUUCGCUUUCAUCAUUUCCAACAUUCUUCUUGCCUUUUCCCUGGUUUGUUCUCGUCCUGACUUCUCCAA
Molecule: unclassified non-coding RNA, 3082 nt
Filed under: Hevea brasiliensis (rubber tree)
Lineage: Eukaryota; Viridiplantae; Streptophyta; Magnoliopsida; Malpighiales; Euphorbiaceae
Source: RNAcentral